AGCGAACGCUGGCGGCAGGCUUAACACAUGCAAGUCGAGCGGGCCUUUCGGGGUCAGCGGCGGACGGGUGAGUAACGCGUGGGAACGUGCCCUCUGGUUCGGAAUAACUCAGGGAAACUUGAGCUAAUACCGGAUACGCCCUUUUGGGGAAAGGCUUGCUGCCGGAGGAUCGGCCCGCGUCUGAUUAGCUAGUUGGUGAGGUAACGGCUCACCAAGGCGACGAUCAGUAGCUGGUCUGAGAGGAUGAUCAGCCACACUGGGACUGAGACACGGCCCAGACUCCUACGGGAGGCAGCAGUGGGGAAUAUUGGAAAAUGGGCGCAAGCCUGAUCCAGCCAUGCCGCGUGAGUGAUGAAGGCCUUAGGGUUGUAAAGCUCUUUUAUCCGGGACGAUAAUGACGGUACCGGAGGAAUAAGCCCCGGCUAACUUCGUG
Molecule: ribosomal RNA, 433 nt
Filed under: uncultured bacterium
Lineage: Bacteria
Description: partial 16S ribosomal RNA
Rfam family: Bacterial small subunit ribosomal RNA
Source: RNAcentral